Molecule: ribosomal RNA, 253 nt
Filed under: uncultured bacterium
Lineage: Bacteria
Description: partial 16S ribosomal RNA
Rfam family: Bacterial small subunit ribosomal RNA
Source: RNAcentral
UACGUAGGUGACCAGCGUUGUCCGGAUUUACUGGGCGUAAAGCGCACGUAGGCGGGUCGUUAAGUCGAGGGUGAAAUCCUGGAGCUCAACUCCAGAACUGCCUUCGAUACUGGCGACCUAGAGUCCGGAAGAGGUGAGUGGAACUCCUAGUGUAGAGGUGGAAUUCGUAGAUAUUAGGAAGAACACCAGUGGCGAAGGCGGCUCACUGGUCCGGUACUGACGCUGAGGUGCGAAAGCGUGGGGAGCAAACAGG